UAUCGAAUCGCCAUCCAACACAUCUGGUGGGCUCUGCCCGCCCUUGUAG
RNAcentral lists this ribosomal RNA (49 nucleotides) under Trypanosoma minasense. RNAcentral describes it as "partial 28S zeta ribosomal RNA". Lineage: Eukaryota; Euglenozoa; Kinetoplastea; Trypanosomatida; Trypanosomatidae. The record is from RNAcentral.